UACGGGGGGAGCAAGCGUUGUUCGGAUUUACUGGGCGUAAAGGGCGCGUAGGCGGCCACCGCAAGUCGACUGUGAAAUCUCCGGGCUUAACCCGGAAAGGUCAGCCGAUACUGCGGGGCUAGAGUGCAGAAGGGGCAACUGGAAUUCUCGGUGUAGCGGUGAAAUGCGUAGAUAUCGAGAGGAACACCCGUGGCGAAGGCGGCUCUCUGGAACGCAACUGACGCUGAGACGCGAAAGCGUGGGGAGCAAACAGG
This 254-nucleotide ribosomal RNA is filed under the name uncultured bacterium. RNAcentral's name for it is "partial 16S ribosomal RNA". It matches the Rfam family "Bacterial small subunit ribosomal RNA", at positions 524 to 776 of the family's 1533-position model. The record is from RNAcentral.